Long non-coding RNA from Vicia villosa (hairy vetch), 2281 nucleotides. RefSeq lists it as uncharacterized. NCBI's taxonomy places the organism in Eukaryota, Viridiplantae, Streptophyta, Magnoliopsida, Fabales, Fabaceae. The record is from RefSeq and is a predicted model, not a curated record. The transcript has 2 exons.
ACCCCAAAAUUUACCCUCAUAUAUUUACAAACGCCAUUUUAUUUCGAAUAAAUGAAUCGACACACUGGGUAAGAAUUUGAGCGUGAAAGGUACAAUAGCGCGAGGUCCCGUGUUCGAGUCCCACUACUAACAGUUUAUUUUAUUUUAUUUGUUACCAACUUAAUUUCUGUUUUAAAUUACUUUUUUUGAAAAAAUCACAAAAAAAAAUUGUUUUAUAUUAUUUACAAUUUAUUUUCAUAGAUUUUUCACUUUUUCCAUAAAAAAGGGAAGAUUUUAAAAUUCUACACCUUUUUUACAUUUUAGGUUAGUUUUUUUAAUUAGUUAAAUAUAAUAAUAAAACUCAAUUAAGUAAUUCUAUUUUUUUUUGUUGGGCUUUAGGUUAUUUUUAAUUUAUUUUGGUCCACUAGAUCUUAACCUAAUUUUGUAUCCUAUAAAAAGGAACUAACUUUAACCUUUUUUUUAAGAGAAAAAACGCUGAACAAAUCCUAACCUACAUUCCACCUCCCUCACGGUAUAAACAAUUUUUCAACUCUACCUUUCAAAACCUCAUUCACGUGUAAAUUCACAAACUACAGAUCUCCACCACAUGCUAACACUAUACAUACUACUGUACACCAAAGCCUUCUAAUCGUUCAUCAUCAUCUUACUAUAACACCGCAAACGGUUCGCCGGAAGUCGCAACCAUCACCGAUCUCCGAUAACAGCCACUACAAAGCACGCCGAUUCAGCACCAGCCAACGGUUUCAACAGCAAAGUCUUCACGCAUCACCUAUUCAGAACCAACAACAGUGUCGCUAUAAUUUCUUGUUCAGAGUUUGUUUUUUUUUCUUUACGUUUUUUUGUUGUUCGUUUUUUUGCAGAUUCGUUUUGAAGUGGGAAGAACAAUCCUAAGAAGUGGCAGCCGUGGGAAACAAAACCUUGAACCCACGUUCAUCCACAUCCGAUUCAACACCGUGAUUUCGAACUCGAAGCUUCAAAAUAUUCAAUUCCACAACAACUGUCAAGCGGAUCAGAAAACUUACGAGUCUGCGUCACUGGUUCAAGCCCUCCGUUCAUCUUCGAAUUCACGUUGCACUUUAGAUUCAGGGUUACCAUCAGGGUUCCUUCGAUCACGCGCCAUGCUAAUCAAGAAGCUAAGUUCUAAACCUUUUCCCCUUUAAAUUUUAUUUUAAUUUUUGUCUUAUAGGUUAAAUUAAGGUUUAUUUUCAAUGUCAAAGAAUUCCACAUACACUCACUUUUAUUUAUUUCCCUCUUAAUUUUCAGAGUCUAUCGAGGUUCGAGGAAGAUCAAGGCACUCAAGGAUGUUUUUACUAAUUAUUGUUCUCUCUUAUUUUCUGUCUUAUUUCCCCAUUCCCCGCAGGUGUUUAUUGUAAUAGCGUAGGACAUCUAUCUUUCCGCCUUUAAUUUCCGCAUGAUUUUAACUGCGUGGUUAGUAACCCUAGGGAGUGCAAGAUCAUCAAUCAAACGUUAGAACACUAACAAUACAAAAUUAAAUAUUCAAACUUAAUCACGUGAUUGUUGCACCCACUCACCUUUAGGGUAACCCUUCUCGUUGCCUUUGUUGCCGGUUGCCUUAAAUUGUUGCCUGUUGCCUCUAAAUGUACUAAAUAGUCUAGUCCCUCGAUUCCGAGGAUACCUAAAGCAAUGUUGCCCGUCGCCUUCAAAGUUAUUGAAACUCCCUCGAUGUUGCCUUAUAAAAGUAUUGUCCCCAAAUUGCUAAGGUAUCCUCGCAUGAUGCCUUAAAUGACUAUUACAUCCUUCCCUUAGACUACCUGCCCUCUUUAUGGCAAGGGACAGUCUUAUGGCGAACGAUCUCUCGAUGACCCUUCAACAUCCAAUUGAAAGACUUCCUGCCUUCUCAUGGUAUGGAUAGACCCUUUUGCCCGAAAGACUUAAAUAACAAGAAAGACAAUGUAGGGUAGGUAGCUAUUAAUUGCUUGCUCACAUUCAAAUCAAAUUCAAACUACUUUUCGCACCUCCUUUUCAAAACAAUUUCAAAACAAGGCUACGCUUAUUUACAAGCUAAAGUCUUUAACGAAAUCUUUUUACUAUUCACACACGACACUUCAAACUUUUCGAACAAUUCAAAAGUGAGCUAAGCAAUUAAGAGCCCAUGGAUAACCAUGGAUGCAAAGGGUGCCUUACACCUUCCCUUUGUAUAACUUACCCCCCGAACUCAAAAUCUUUCAAAAGGUCUUUCCUGUUCUUUUAGCCUUUCCUAAUUGGAUAAAAUAAAAGUCGGUGGCGACUCUUGCUUACCGUACAUUCCGAUUAAUAAAAA